GGCACUGAGGGAUGUGGACAGUGGGCACGGUGGAGUGGGUUGAUGGUUGGAGUUGAUGUUCUUAGAGGGUUUUUCCAACCAGAAUGAUUCUAUGAUUCUAUAAUUCUAUUAUUAAAACUCAUCCAGGCCCAAACCCUGCCAUGGGCAAGGACACCAAACCAGACAGCCCAAAGGAUUUAAGGAUUUAUGACAGCAAUCAGAAACGUGGCACCUUGCAAACAAGCGUCUGGGGCUGGAAGGAUAUAUACUGAAGGGGAAACAAUGGGAAAGCAAAUGAAACAAGGAAGAACGUUCUGGACCAACGGCCAGAAUUGAGCCACAGGACUUGGGAUAGAAAGAAAAGAGGCGUGAGGAGAGGAAGGGCUGCAUUGUAGUGGAGAAAUGGUCUGGAGGGAGAGAGGCUCAGGCUAAAACCUCACCCAGAAAAUGUAGAGGUCUUCAGCCUCCGACAUGAGAUCUAUGCUCUUUGCCCUGGAUUACACACAGAACCUUGGAAGCUGAGGAGCCCCAGGAGACAUUUGCAGUGGUAGAUGACAAAUCAAGGUCAGCAUGAAACACCAAGUGACCUGGGAUGGGACCAGCGUACUUUCAAAAGGAGAAGCAGCCUAUGAGAAAACAGCUUUUCCUCAGCAGCAUCUCCCUUGCAAAUGCUCCUUGUUCCACAUCCAGAAGUUUGCCAGAGCUGGAUAAAGCUGAUUUCCUCCCCUGGUGGCAGCAGCGGAUGCAGAGAACAAUAGGUACGGUGCCUGCUCAGGGAACAACUCCUGCUCCCCUGUGCCAUGCCCAGCCCUCAGCUGGGGAUGGAGGGACCCGAGGGAAAAGCCAGCUCCAGAGGAGUGGCUUGGAAAAGAACAUUGCAAAAAUUCAUGGAAAGCAGUGAUUGAAUGAAGAAUGAGGUCAUGCAUCUGUUCCAGGAAACGUGCAGCAAAAUAUGUGUUUACUGCAGAAAUUUUAUGAAAUGGAUAAAAAUAAAAGAAUCUCAUCCCUAGAAAGAUGCAGGAGAUCAGAGGUACCUGAGGGCAAGCAGCCACAGAGCUGUGACCAGCCCCAGGAGCCCCUUUUUGGUGUCUGAUCACUGAUGUGAAACUGCAUAUUGCAAAAUCUGCAGCAGGACAUAUCCAGUUAUCACUGUCUCUAGGUAAUGUAGAUAAAACGUUUGCUUUUUUAUUUUUCCCUUAACAGUGGAUAGUGAAAGAGUCUUUAAUCCUCCCAACGUGGGCUGACUGCAUCUGGUUGCUCGUCAGCAUCCACCCUGGGCCACCACAGUCUCAGGCUCUAUUUGGGAUUACACACCUCCCCAAAAGCUGUUCUCCAGUUUGGCUGGUGCGGUUAUCCAUCCCAAAUGCAGCUCUUUACUUCUCCAAGUUUGGUCUAGCUCCUUCCAAAUUAUCACUGUGAAUUUAUUCAGAUCGUUGCUAGUCGUCUGCCUUCCAGACGCCUUGCAGCCCUCCCAGCCCAGAGUUAUUGUAAUGCACUCCUCAGUCAAUCAUCUGGGUUGCUAAUGCAAAUUUUGUAUGCCUGGGCACCAGACCCCCUGCAGUUUGGCAGAGAGCAUCCAAAGCCAUACACUGAGCAUGAGAUGUCUCCUGUGCACUGUGUACCCACUGCAUGGCUUUCGUCUGGCUCUCGAGGGUGACCAGGAGAUGUGGGAUGAACGGUCUCUGAGCUUUGGGGAUGCAGCAGAUCCUUUCCAUGCAAUGUCAGAGGUUAGCCAUGUUUAGCUAUUUAGAGCUUGGCAGUGUGUAGGAAGGAGGGAGAAAGCAUAAGGGACCGGCGUAUGUUCAGAUGCUCCAUAACGAUGUCAUCUGAAGAUGAUUUACAUCGGAGCUGGGACAUAUGCUGUGCUUUAUCACCGCCGUCAUCUACCAGGAUGCGUGCUGCCACCUGAUUACAUGCCCACAUUUCUUCUUCUUGGCUUUACUCUUCACUCAUUCCCUGCAGAGGCACUGACUGUGGGUCCUCAAGGUGGAGCAAUGCUGUCCUGGAGUUAUGGAAUCUCCUUGCCUUGGGAGCCAAUGCACCUCUUAGCACCCAGGUGCUAAAAUCCAUCAGGACUGACUCCUGGGAAGGGAAAAAGG
This is a long non-coding RNA of Phasianus colchicus (ring-necked pheasant), 2078 nucleotides long. RefSeq lists it as uncharacterized. NCBI's taxonomy places the organism in Eukaryota, Metazoa, Chordata, Aves, Galliformes, Phasianidae. The record is from RefSeq and is a predicted model, not a curated record.